AGAGAAUAGAUACCCUGGUAGUCCACGCUGUAAACGAUGAGUACUAGGUGUCGGGGGUAUCGACCCCUCCGGUGCCGAAAGCUAAACGCGAUAAGUACUCCGCCUGGGGACUACGGCCGCAAGGCUAAAACUCAAAGGAAUUGACGGGGGCCCGGCACAAGCAGCGGAGCGUGUGGUUUAAUUCGACGCAACGCGAAGAACCUUACCUGGGCUUGACAUGCACGUGGUAAAACCGUGAAAGCGGAAUGACCCGCAAGGGAGCGUGCACAGAUGCUGCAUGGCUGUCGUCAGCUCGUGCCGUGAGGUGUUGGGUUAAGUCCCGCAACGAGCGCAACCCUCGCUGCCAGUUACCAUGUCUGGCGGGACCGCCGGGUCCAACCCGGAGGAAGGUGGGGAUGACGUCAAGUCAGCACGGCUCUUACGUCCAGGGCUACACACACGCUACAAUGGCCGGUACAACGCGCAGCGAUGGGGCGACCCGGAGCGAAUCGCAUCAAAGCCGGUCUCAGUUGGGAUUGCAGGCUGCAACUCGCCUGC
RNAcentral lists this ribosomal RNA (537 nucleotides) under uncultured bacterium. RNAcentral describes it as "bacterial SSU rRNA". It matches the Rfam family "Bacterial small subunit ribosomal RNA", at positions 774 to 1319 of the family's 1533-position model. The record is from RNAcentral.